CACAAUGCUUGUCUGCCGUGCCCUGGGGGGGAGUUCUGCCAAGGAGAAGGGUUGACCAGCGUUUCAGGAACCUGUUAUGCUGGGUAUUACUGUGAUAUGAAAUCCACACGGCCAGACCAGAAACGCUGUCCACCUGGAUCCUACUGCCCCAAAGGCACAGAGUCCCCAGUCCCAUGUGGUGCUGGAAGCCUCAACCCACACGGUGGGAAAUGGCACUCAACAGACUGUCAGCCCUGCCCGGCCGGAUAUUUCUGCAGUGGGCUAGGAAAAACUGCUGCAGAGGGACUGUGCUCUGCUGGUUACUACUGCCCACCAGGCCAGACCUCAGCCACUCCUCUCUCCUAUCGCUGCCCCCC
This is a long non-coding RNA of Mauremys reevesii (Reeves's turtle), 356 nucleotides long. RefSeq lists it as uncharacterized. Lineage: Eukaryota; Metazoa; Chordata; Testudines; Geoemydidae. The transcript is spliced from 3 exons. The record is from RefSeq and is a predicted model, not a curated record.